Molecule: unclassified non-coding RNA, 358 nt
Filed under: soil metagenome
Description: partial contains 5.8S ribosomal RNA, internal transcribed spacer 2, and large subunit ribosomal RNA
Rfam family: 5.8S ribosomal RNA (bases 1-120)
Source: RNAcentral
GAUGAAGAACGUAGCGAAAUGCGAUAAUUAAUGUGAAUUGCAGAAUUUAGUGAAUCAUCGAAUCUUUGAACGCACAUUGCGCCCGUCAGUAUUCUGGCGGGCAUGCCUGUUCGAGCGUCAUUACGCCCCUCAAGUCCCCUGUGGACUUGGUGUUGGGGAUCGGCGAGGCUGGUUUUCCAGCACAGCCGUCCCUUAAAUUAAUUGGCGGUCUCGCCGUGGCCCUCCUCUGCGCAGUAGUAAAACACUCGCAACAGGAGCCCGGCGCGGUCCACUGCCGUAAAACCCCCCAACUUUUUAUAGUUGACCUCGAAUCAGGUAGGACUACCCGCUGAACUUAAGCAUAUCAAUAAGCGGAGGA